RNAcentral lists this ribosomal RNA (467 nucleotides) under Delftia acidovorans. RNAcentral describes it as "bacterial SSU rRNA". It matches the Rfam family "Bacterial small subunit ribosomal RNA", at positions 62 to 528 of the family's 1533-position model. Lineage: Bacteria; Pseudomonadati; Pseudomonadota; Betaproteobacteria; Burkholderiales; Comamonadaceae. The record is from RNAcentral.
UCGACGGUACAGGUCUUCGGACGCUGACGAGUGGCGAACGGGUGAGUAAUACAUCGGAACGUGCCCAGUCGUGGGGGAUAACUACUCGAAAGAGUAGCUAAUACCGCAUACGAUCUGAGGAUGAAAGCGGGGGACCUUCGGGCCUCGCGCGAUUGGAGCGGCCGAUGGCAGAUUAGGUAGUUGGUGGGAUAAAAGCUUACCAAGCCGACGAUCUGUAGCUGGUCUGAGAGGACGACCAGCCACACUGGGACUGAGACACGGCCCAGACUCCUACGGGAGGCAGCAGUGGGGAAUUUUGGACAAUGGGCGAAAGCCUGAUCCAGCAAUGCCGCGUGCAGGAUGAAGGCCUUCGGGUUGUAAACUGCUUUUGUACGGAACGAAAAAGCUUCUCCUAAUACGAGAGGCCCAUGACGGUACCGUAAGAAUAAGCACCGGCUAACUACGUGCCAGCAGCCGCGGUAAUACGU